CUUUAAAAUUCCAUUAUUCCCUGGAUGAAUCAGACUACCUAGGAAAGUGCAGACUACCUGUAGUAACCAAAGCAGCAUGCUGCUGGGGAGCAGUCUAUGCAUCCAGGCAAGAGAACAUCCCUGCCACUGCGUUCCUGAGGAGAAGGAAGGGCUGAGCAUGGAUGCGAUGGACACGGCAGAGUGCAAGGCAAGGCAUGGGCUGCAGCACCGAGCAGCACUGGUUAGAGGUAGCAGCAUCCCUAUGGCUCUCAGUUGGUGUUGAAGUGUAACAGGAGGAGUUUGAGGACAUACAUGGAGGUACCAAACCCCAUGGGGAGCUGUGAUUUAGGGAUGAAAUGCCCUCUGCUUGCUGGAGGCUGCUCUGAGUGGGGUGGAGAGCUUCUGACAGCAGAUGUUGGGUGUUGUGCAACUCAGGGCAGUUAUUAGAUACAACACUCCUGUGUGCUCUGACUUGUUUGCUUUAGGGUUAGGCUUUUUAAUCCCACUGGUAUUUAUAUUGUUUUGCAAUGUUUUUAUUAUUACUCUGAAUCACUAUCCAGGGCUUGUGCUAAGCACAGCUUAAUCAAUGCAUUUAUUCCCCUUUGCUUUUCUCCCAUAAUAAGCAUCUUGAGGCUCCGAGAGCUGCUGCUGAGAGAAGCAAACUGCAAACUUCCCUUUCUUUGAUGCUGAAAUAUGCAGUGUUGUCCAUGGGGAAGGAGAUGGAGUAAGAGACUGCUGCUUGUUUCCUGUAUGCCUGGAGCAAAGGAGGAAAGAUGUGACAGAAGUAUGAGCAUAUACAUAAAAGGUUGUUCUUGUGAUUGACUUAGUACCUUCUGGGCAAAAUAAUACAUAAGCAAGGUAGCAAUUAGACAAAUGAGCCAUUCUUUUUGUAAAGUUGUUAUUACUAGCUUAUGUUUAACAUAUGCUCAAGUCUCCACGUCCCAUUAAGGACUGCUGGUUUUUGUGCUCUGCAAACAAGGUGGUGUAUACAUAGUGGGCAAGAUUAGGCUUAUUCCAGUCAGUUUUUGAUGAGUAAACAUUCUGAUGGUAUAUUUUAAUGAUGUGAGGGGAGAAACUAUCCCAUGAAAGGAUGUGAGCCAAGGGGAAAAGCAGCUCCUAAUGAGAUAUGAGCAGCUCUGAAACCACAGGGUUUCCCAUCUUAAGCUGAUGGAUUUGUCACUUCCUCCCUUGGCUCUUUCCCAAAUGUAGAUGCCAAGUGAAACAAAAACAAUAACUUCAUGGAUAAGGACAUUACUCAAAAAUUGCAAUGCAGAGCAUCAGGGAAGUAUUUCUAUGAAAAAAAAAAAGUCAAUAUAAGAUGUGAACAUCUCGCUUUCUAUGAAAGGAAAAUGUGUUAAAUAGUAAAAAUAAAGUGUGGCAUGUAAGGAACUUCUGUAGAAAU
This 1381-nucleotide long non-coding RNA is filed under the name Phasianus colchicus (ring-necked pheasant). RNAcentral describes it as "lncRNA (ENSPCLG00000001070.1)". Lineage: Eukaryota; Metazoa; Chordata; Aves; Galliformes; Phasianidae. The record is from RNAcentral.